GACGAACGCUGGCGGCGUGCUUAACACAUGCAAGUCGAACGGAAAGGCCCUGCGUUUGUGGGGUGCUCGAGUGGCGAACGGGUGAGUAACACGUGAGUAACCUGACCUUGACUUUGGGAUAACUUCAGGAAACGGGGGCUAAUACCGGAUAGGAGCUCCUGCUGCGGGGGGGGGGUUGGAAAGUCUCGGCGGUUGGGGAUGGACUCGCGGCUUAUCAGCUUGUUGGUGGGGUAGUGGCUUACCAAGGCUUUGACGGGUAGCCGGCCUGAGAGGGUGGCCGGCCACCUUGGGCCUGCGAUACGGCCCAGUCUCCUACGGGAGGCAGAAGUGGGGAAUAUUGCACAAUGGGCCGGAGCCUGAUGCGGCGACGCCGCGUGCGGGAUGACGUCCUUCGGGUUGUAAACCGCUUUCGCCUGUGACGCAGCGUGAGUGACGGUAAUGGGUAAAGAAGCACCGGCUAACUACGUG
RNAcentral lists this ribosomal RNA (468 nucleotides) under uncultured bacterium. RNAcentral describes it as "partial 16S ribosomal RNA". It matches the Rfam family "Bacterial small subunit ribosomal RNA", at positions 28 to 507 of the family's 1533-position model. The record is from RNAcentral.